This 62-nucleotide transfer RNA is filed under the name Ramisyllis multicaudata. RNAcentral's name for it is "tRNA-Met". Lineage: Eukaryota; Metazoa; Annelida; Polychaeta; Phyllodocida; Syllidae. The record is from RNAcentral.
UAUAGAGUAAACUAAUAUAAGUUUUUGAGCUCAUAACUCAACUAUGGUCUAACCCUCUAUAA